This 672-nucleotide ribosomal RNA is filed under the name Pseudomonas sp. RNAcentral describes it as "bacterial SSU rRNA". It matches the Rfam family "Bacterial small subunit ribosomal RNA", at positions 59 to 725 of the family's 1533-position model. Lineage: Bacteria; Pseudomonadati; Pseudomonadota; Gammaproteobacteria; Pseudomonadales; Pseudomonadaceae. The record is from RNAcentral.
AAGUCGAGCGGGAUGAGUGGAGCUUGCUCCAUGAUUCAGCGGCGGACGGGUGAGUAAUGCCUAGGAAUCUGCCUGGUAGUGGGGGACAACGUUUCGAAAGGAACGCUAAUACCGCAUACGUCCUACGGGAGAAAGUGGGGGAUCUUCGGACCUCACGCUAUCAGAUGAGCCUAGGUCGGAUUAGCUAGUUGGUGAGGUAAAGGCUCACCAAGGCGACGAUCCGUAACUGGUCUGAGAGGAUGAUCAGUCACACUGGAACUGAGACACGGUCCAGACUCCUACGGGAGGCAGCAGUGGGGAAUAUUGGACAAUGGGCGAAAGCCUGAUCCAGCCAUGCCGCGUGUGUGAAGAAGGUCUUCGGAUUGUAAAGCACUUUAAGUUGGGAGGAAGGGCAGUAAGUUAAUACCUUGCUGUUUUGACGUUACCGACAGAAUAAGCACCGGCUAACUUCGUGCCAGCAGCCGCGGUAAUACGAAGGGUGCAAGCGUUAAUCGGAAUUACUGGGCGUAAAGCGCGCGUAGGUGGUUCGUUAAGUUGGAUGUGAAAGCCCCGGGCUCAACCUGGGAACUGCAUCCAAAACUGGCGAGCUAGAGUAUGGCAGAGGGUGGUGGAAUUUCCUGUGUAGCGGUGAAAUGCGUAGAUCUAAGAAGGAACACCAGUGGCGAAGGCGAC